Molecule: ribosomal RNA, 275 nt
Filed under: uncultured Turneriella sp.
Lineage: Bacteria; Pseudomonadati; Spirochaetota; Leptospiria; Leptospirales; Leptospiraceae
Description: partial 16S ribosomal RNA
Rfam family: Bacterial small subunit ribosomal RNA
Source: RNAcentral
CCUACGGGGGGCUGCAGUUAAGAAUCUUGCGCAAUGGGGGCAACCCUGACGCAGCGACGCCGCGUGAAGGAUGAAGGCUUUCGGGUUGUAAACUUCGGUAGACUGGGAAGAAGAACUACGUUCGUUGAGGGCGUAGAGUGACGGUACCAGUCUGAAGCCCCGGCUAAUUACGUGCCAGCAGCCGCGGUAAUACGUAUGGGGCAAGCGUUGUUCGGAAUUAUUGGGCGUAAAGGGCUCGCAGGUGGUUUGUUAAGUUGGUGGUUUAAUCUCUGGGC